Molecule: non-coding RNA, 46 nt
Filed under: Trichobilharzia regenti
Lineage: Eukaryota; Metazoa; Platyhelminthes; Trematoda; Strigeidida; Schistosomatidae
Source: RNAcentral
GUACUGAUGAAGAGUCCCAAAAUAGGACGUAACGACUGUCCAGAAC